AGGCGAGCGAGCGGCUAGGUUCGUGAUCUGGAGAGACGCUCAGCACAGUGCUCGACAUGAGAUAAUCACUCACUGUUGCUUCAGUUCAGGACUGGAAAUCAAUGGAAAGGAAGAACAGUUAAGAUUAUUAAGUUCCUGCAACUUAACUGGGAACUGAUCAAGAUUUCAAGCUAAAGAUGGUGGUGAUGAACAGCCUGAGGGUCAUUCUUCAAGCCUCUCCAGGCAAAUUGCUGUGGAGAAAGUUCCAGAUUCCGAGAUUCAUGCCAGCGAGGCCCUGCAGCCUCUAUACUUGUACUUACAAAACCCGGAACCGAGCCUUGCAUCCACUCUGGGAGAGCGUGGACCUGGUUCCUGGGGGCGAUCGACAGUCACCCAUCAACAUUCGGUGGAGGGACAGUGUUUAUGAUCCCGGCUUAAAACCACUGACCAUCUCUUAUGACCCAGCCACCUGCCUCCACGUCUGGAAUAAUGGGUACUCUUUCCUCGUGGAAUUUGAAGAUUCUACAGAUAAAUCAGGUGAGGGCAAGAUCUGGUGGUCUUGUAAGGAGUUAAAGAAACAGUGUCAUGUUAACAGAGGACACAUCAAACUCUCUCCAUGAUAGUAUUGACCUCUUUGUGAGCAAUGGCAUGGAACU
This 635-nucleotide small RNA is filed under the name Pan troglodytes (chimpanzee). Its description in RNAcentral is "retained intron". The record is from RNAcentral. Lineage: Eukaryota; Metazoa; Chordata; Mammalia; Primates; Hominidae.